GCGCGAACUUUAGGAUUAUGCGCGUGACAAACAAGAUCUUGAAUCGACUAUGCUAAUCAGAUAGAAACGGAUAGUCGAUGUCGUAAUACGUCGUUAGUAAAGCCAAUUAUAGCGCGAAGACUGAUUCGCAGCAGGUAUUCCUUUUUGGUUCAUAGGCCUACCUCGAUAUAGUCCCGUCUCCCAGAAAAAAUCGAUAUCUAGUAAAAAAGUAACAUGGAAAGAACGAGAUCGAGGACCCAACGAGAUAGACAACGUUAUAGGCGGAGACCUUGAUAGUCAUUGUUCGAAAGCGCUAUUUGUAUUUAUUCGAAGCCUUUGUUCGGACGGCUCGGAAAGCGGGGCUGUAGAUGAGAGAAAGCGAGAGAGAAAAAGAAAGAGAAAGAGCAAGUAAGAAGGAGAGGGAAGAAUUACUUUGCUAGCUAAAGGGGUGAGGUCCAUUAGUUGUUAGGAAACUGUCACGGAGCUUCGAUCACCAAAAAAAAAGAAACGCGUGCUUGUCGAAAUCGCAGAGAACAUUUAAUACAACAAGAAUGAAAUUAAAUAGUCGAGUGCUUAUAGAAACAAAAAACAAUACUGCAUAUCUUUAAUUCUAAAUAUUAUUUUUUCUUUUUAUUUUAUUAAUGUUCACAAUGUGAAAGAAUGAUCGAUCAGCUUGAAGAAACACGUUUGACCAUACAUAAAAAUCCAAUUCCAGAAAGGUGUUCGCGUGCGAUUUGGCCCCACCCCGACGGACCGACGAUCGUGUACGCGCGCGUGUGUGAAUGCACCUCGUGCAUUGGAUGCAACUGCAAGUGGUCAGUAGCUCGCAAAACGACUGACCGCUCGGUACAUUGGUUCCGCACAUCCCGUCGAUCUUCCAACAUGAAAUUCGACUGACACGCUUCCCGAAUUUCUGAUUACUUCUGAUUUCCUACCGAAACAAAAAAUCCUCGAAGUAACGCAUAACUGAAAGUAAUUUACUCGGGUACUCUAUUAAAAUACGAGUGAGCGAAAAGUGAUUUUAUUUCGGUGUUUCAAAAAUUAAGUGAACCCGAUAAUGUUCUGCGAUCAUUUAAUUAAAAUCGGCAAGAACAUGUGAAAUUAAAUUGGAACGUUGUGAAUUUCGAAUAUUUUACAAAUACUGUAAUUUCGUAUAGCGUACGAAUAUAUUAUAAAGCUUAAUAAUUUGUAGCAAAGAAACCUGUGUGUGAUCAUUUUAAUAUGAUAAUGUGAUAAAGUGAAUUUUAAUAAAAUACGAAUAAAAAAACUAUUGCAAAAUAAAUUAACGUUCAUUCUCGUAAAACUUUAACAAAAUUCUUUCCAUCGAUCUCGACUACUACUUUCUUUAGAUUUCACAUUCUUCGUCGCCCUGCCCCUCCCGAAGAAAAAAGUUGUUAACUAAAGAAAUAAGAAAAAAAUAAUAAAUGAAUAAAAUAAAAUCCAUAAGAAAUAAGUUUUCGCUCUUGAUGCACGAUGAAAAUAGUACGUUGAUAAGAAUGAAGAUGAAAGAACACAAGGGGAAGGAAAGUGAUGAAAAGGAAAAUGGUCGGUGCACGCGUGACAUUGCCGGCGACGGAGAGGAUGGUUUAUCUCGAAUAUACAAUCCUCGCACCCCUACCAACGCGUGUUCGAGGGUGGUAGGAGGGAUAGCUUCGGGUGGAUGGAAAAAGAAGGGGAAGAGAAAAAGAGAAAGAAAGGAAAGGAGGGAGAAAUAGAGAGGUAGAAAGAAAAAGAUAGAGUAGAGGUCGACGAGAAGCCCUCGGUAACCAACGCCCACCGCCAACCACCCCCUACCCUUUAGCUUUUGCGACGUCUAUGGAGGGGUGCUCAACUCAGAAGAGG
RNAcentral lists this long non-coding RNA (1821 nucleotides) under Polistes fuscatus (common paper wasp). Its description in RNAcentral is "uncharacterized LOC122520655". The record is from RNAcentral. Lineage: Eukaryota; Metazoa; Arthropoda; Insecta; Hymenoptera; Vespidae.